Long non-coding RNA from Lutra lutra (Eurasian river otter), 158 nucleotides. RefSeq lists it as uncharacterized. Lineage: Eukaryota; Metazoa; Chordata; Mammalia; Carnivora; Mustelidae. The record is from RefSeq and is a predicted model, not a curated record. The transcript has 3 exons.
UUCAAAUUCAGAGGUCCUGGGAUCGAUCAUUAAAAAAGUAAUUCAAAUUACCCCAAAGAGCAACUGAAUUUUUUAAACAUCUUUAUACAUCCAGCCAACAAAUUAAAAUGGUUAACAAGAAAAAAUACAAAUUCAGAGGUCUGGUAUAGAUGUUUAAA